UACGGAGGAUGCAAGCGUUAUCCGGAAUGAUUGGGCGUAAAGCGUCCGCAGGUGGCUAUGUAAGUCUGCUGUUAAAGAGUGAGGCUCAACCUCAUAAGAGCAGUGGAAACUACAUGGCUAGAGUGCGUUCGGGGCAGAGGGAAUUCCUGGUGUAGCGGUGAAAUGCGUAGAUAUCAGGAAGAACACCGGUGGCGAAAGCGCUCUGCUAGGCCGCAACUGACACUGAGGGACGAAAGCUAGGGGAGCGAACAGG
RNAcentral lists this ribosomal RNA (253 nucleotides) under uncultured bacterium. RNAcentral describes it as "partial 16S ribosomal RNA". It matches the Rfam family "Bacterial small subunit ribosomal RNA", at positions 524 to 776 of the family's 1533-position model. The record is from RNAcentral.